AGAUAUUUGAUGGCACUGGCCAGAUUGUAAAGCAUCCCACUGGCAUCCCGCUCUGUGUAUUUGUUGGUCGAAGUAAUAGCAUCAAAAAGAUCUCCUCCCUUUACAAGUUCCAUGACAAGGUACAACUCAGUUGGCAUGUCCAUCUCCUCAAUCAGAAGUACAAUAUUGGGAUGCUUGACUCGUCUCAAAAUGGACACCUCAUUCUGGAUCAUGUGCUCUUUUCCUCUACAUUUACUUUUUUUGAUUAUUUUCAGAGCAUACUCUCUACCGGUUGAUCUUUCUAUACACUCCUUCACAAUAGCAAAAUUUCCAUCUCCU
Molecule: long non-coding RNA, 318 nt
Filed under: Gallus gallus (chicken)
Lineage: Eukaryota; Metazoa; Chordata; Aves; Galliformes; Phasianidae
Source: RNAcentral